RNAcentral lists this ribosomal RNA (431 nucleotides) under uncultured bacterium. Its description in RNAcentral is "partial 16S ribosomal RNA". It matches the Rfam family "Bacterial small subunit ribosomal RNA", at positions 29 to 507 of the family's 1533-position model. The record is from RNAcentral.
AACGAACGCUGGCGGCAGGCCUAACACAUGCAAGUCGAGCGCCCUUUCGGGGGAGCGGCGGACGGGUGAGUAACGCGUGGGAAUAUGCCCUUCUCUACAGAAUAGCCUCGGGAAACUGAGAGUAAUACCGUAUACGCCCUGUGGGGGAAAGAUUUAUCGGGGAAGGAUUAGCCCGCGUUGGAUUAGGUAGUUGGUGGGGUAAUGGCCUACCAAGCCGACGAUCCAUAGCUGGUUUGAGAGGAUGAUCAGCCACACUGGGACUGAGACACGGCCCAGACUCCUACGGGAGGCAGCAGUGGGGAAUCUUAGACAAUGGGGGCAACCCUGAUCUAGCCAUGCCGCGUGAGUGAUGAAGGCCUUAGGGUUGUAAAGCUCUUUCAGCUGGGAAGAUAAUGACGGUACCAGCAGAAGAAGCCCCGGCUAACUCCGUG